UUCAAAAAGAAAAAAAUAAUAAUUGAACAAAUGAAUUUAAUUAUUUAGAGCAUGUUGCUCUCUCUUUCUUGAAACUUUUCUCCAUCCUCUUUUCUCAAAGCUCCUUUCUCGUUGACGUCUCCUCCAGCUUCCGCGACUGGCGGUGGUGUGCGUGGUUCUCCGGCACGGUUCAUUGUGUCUGCGGUUGGUGGGUUCCGUUCUAGUGUGUUGGCGAGUGGGGUAGGAUGUGGAUGAACGGAGUUGGUUUUUAGGGUUCGGAGGCGGUGAUUGGAUGAGGUUUUCAGUUUUCUCGAUCUGGUCCCCGACCGGCAGUGACAGCGCGUGAACGUGGUUGUAAGGCUCCUCCUUUCAGAUCUGGUGGUCUUGCCGUUCAAGCUAUUGAUUUGGACAGGAGCGGUCCGGUGUCGUCAGAGCUCUGUCUUCGCUUUGGGUCCAGUGAGGCUCUCAUCCUUCUUCAUCUGGCUAAGUGGUACUUUGGAGCUCUUUCUUGAAGCGCGCUUGUUCUGGUUUUCGUCCCGCGGCAGUUGUUGUGUGCGGUCGUCGGGUUGUUUCUGGGCUUGGCCGUCUAUGACUUGCGCCUAGAACUCUUCGGUAGUCGCUAAUGCUUUGUCUUCAUGUUUCUCGCUGCUCUUGUUUUGUUGCAUGGCGUCUGCUUGGUGUGGUGCCUCUUCCUUUCCGGCUCUUCGGAGUUCUUAGAGUUCUCCUCUGUUGUUGUCUCUCUCACGAGGCUUUGUAGAGCUUCCAUCGGUUCUCGAUGUGAGCUCGAGGCAAGGUGUCAGACCUCCGUUUGAGUCUCGAAGCUGUGUUUCCUUGAAGGAGACUCGUGUGUUGGUUGGUCAUCCCAGCUCCAUUGUCGGAUCACUUGGUCUCCAGUGGAGGACUGAUCUUAUCUCUAUAUUGUAGGUUUGGGCGAACAACUCAGGAUGUAGCUCUCAUCGCUCCAUGUCUUCUUGCAUCUACGCGCAUUAUGUUUUGAAGUCGAGUGUAAUAAGUGUGACUUUGGUGGUCAGUGGCAUCAGGCCGGAUUGGCACUCUAGUGUGCUCGAUGCAAGUGGAAGUUCUUAGCUCGGGUCUCAGUCUCCUCUACCGGUGGUGGUUGAUGGAUCGGUUUCCUCGGCCGGUCUAUGCAAAGCUGCGUGGGGUCAGUGUCAAUCUUUUGGAGUAGCGGUUUGUGCAAGCCGAUUUCUACCUAGCGUGGUCUAUAUUUUAUCAAAGGCUCCGAACCUAUUUGGCAAUGCUACGGUCUCGGCCAGGCUAUCCUUCUGCGAGUGUUUUGUGUGCUUGUAUUUAAAUGUUAAUGUUAUGUCCUUUGAUCCUCUAAUGUUUUUUUUUGGGUGUUUUCUGCUACUAGUAUUCUCUGUAACUGUUGUUAAAAGUUUAAAAUUUUGGUAUAAAAUUUAAUAUUUACACGAA
Molecule: long non-coding RNA, 1413 nt
Organism: Brassica oleracea var. oleracea
Lineage: Eukaryota; Viridiplantae; Streptophyta; Magnoliopsida; Brassicales; Brassicaceae
Exons: 2
Source: RefSeq, a predicted model, not a curated record